CAAGUGCUGGUAUUUUCAAGGGAAUGUGGGUCAGCUGAGGUGUGAAUUGUACAUUUAAGAAGACAGGAAUUAUCUGGUGUAUUUUUUCAAGACCGAAGCACACAGAAUGAUUUUUUAAGCAGUUUAGGUGGUUGUGAGCAAAGGGGAAAAUUAUUAAAGUUUUCAGACUUCUGAAAUUCUGUGCAAAUGAGUCAGUUGUCUUCACAUUCCUACAAAACUGGAAAGGCAAAAUUACGUGAAUACUCAGAUAGGAGUAUGGAGUCCAAAAGACUUGACUGGAGUACUAGAGCCUACAUUGUAGAAUCACCAAUAGAUUACUGCAGUUCUGUGUUUCCAACGUUGAGAUAGAGAGAACAACUGGUUUCCCAUGCAACAUGUUUUGCUGAUUUCAUCCAAUUUCAUAAUUGUCAGCAAUAGCACUUUUUCUUCCAAGUGAUUUAUAAAUACUGACUAAUUUGUUCUCACAAUUGUCACAACAAUCUGGAUUUUACUCUCUCAGACUAAAAAAUAUCGCUGAAGACAAGGAAACAGAGUCAGUCAAGUAUUAAUCAAAGGGUUCAUUUCCUCUGUGAAGUCAGCCUCAAAAUGGUAUUAGAUGUCAUCUGAGCAGUCCUUAUUUCCAGUGUAGGUCUAGUCACUAGGCACUAGCUCAUCUUCUGUGUAGCUGUUUUUUCUGGAACUUUAUUGCCAGAGAAGAGGAAAUUAGAAGACCAAAAAGAAAAAAUGCAGCUGUUUUUUUCAGUUUACUUCAGCUUAAUUCUCAUUCUUUGCAGUUAAUGUUUUACUCUGCAUACAUUCAGGUGGAAAUGUUUAUAGAAAUCUAUGGUUAUCUUCUCAAGUGUGGCAUGUGUGAGUGUUAUUCAGAACUUUCCACUCAAGCAAGUGCAAAAUAGCUGCUCUUUUGUUCUCUGUGGCACCCCAGAAAAGAAAGAUGACAGGAAUGAGUGAGAUGACAGAGCCAUGCUCAGCCCAAGCCUUUAAUGCUCAUCAGAAGGUCUGGCAAAAAUGUACAAGGUUGUGUUCUCCUUCACAGCUGGAGAGACCUGGGAUACAUUUCUGGAAGACAGACGUUUUCCCACUGCUCUCUGCUACAAGAGCGUGUCUGUACCCUCACCUGCUCCUGUUUUGGCUGGCUGUCACCUUUGAGCCUGCUGAUUGGAGUGGGACUGCUCAUGGUUUUUGCUUGGAGUGAUGGCAAAGAGUCAUACCCAUUCACUGGGGCAGGAGACGGUGAUGGCUAUUAAAUCACGUUUCAAGGUUUUAUAAAACCACUGUGAAAGACUCAAAGCAGCAAACAAGGUGCCACUUAUUACCAGUGAUGAAGAAAGCUUUUGAUGAAGGGAAGAUGCAAUUUUAAGAAAACUGUUGUGCCAGUAAAUGCUGAAGGUCAGACUCUGCAGGACUGAUACUUCAGGCUUAAUAGUCCGUGUGUGUUUCUGGCUCCUUCAUUGCUGUGAAGUAAAUAAGAUCUGAAGAUGCCAGUGCAUCCCAGGUGCUGGGGACCUUGAAGUCUCAGACUCUCAAGAUUGAAGGGUCUGCUUUAAAACAACCCUAUUGAAGGAUAAUUUCACUAGUGAGUCGCACAGAAGAAAGGUGUUCAUAUCCUCUGAAUUGCCUGGUUUUAGAUGUGUUUCCCAGAGGAAGUGCUAGUACAUUAACUAUUACUCUCCUCUUACAUAGUUCACCUUUUUCCUACAACUCCAGCCUGCCCACAGGCACCGCUGGCUCACACAAAAAAAGGAGUGUUUCUGGAGCCCACUGCUGCAAGGUUGCAUAAUCACUCAUGUAAUUUAGUCAGCGGGGACAGGAGAAGGAGGCUCCUUCACUGCUGUUGUGUGUGGCAUAUGCAGAGGAGUUAUGGCUAAAUAGCAGCAGUAGCCAGUGAAGCAUUUGCAUUUGGCUGGCCACUCAAAUGGAUGAAAAGAAGGAUAUUUUUUCUGCUUCUUCAUUAACGUAAGCAAUUAUGUCUUGUCUCUGCUGAUUGCUAUGUACAGGUAGAAAACUGCUACAUUCAGGGCAGAAAACUGUGAGAAGAGGGUAAGGGACUGUGUGAAACAGAGGGAGAAAUAUACUGUAAGGAGGCUUUGGGAGGAUGAAAGAGAGGAAAGGGAAAGAGUGAGAUCAUUACCAUGGAGAUUAAAGACCUCUUCCUAUCAGCCAGGAUUAGGACUGUAGUGGGAAUGCUCUUAUAUGUUGCUAUUAAUUUGCCUAUUUUUUUGGUUACACAAUAAUUGUCCAUGCUAUUGGAUACAGAUUGGCAAUAAACUUCUAUGGUUUAUAAAAGCCAUAAUACAGGUGAUAUUACAAUGACAGUUCUUUUUAACUUUGCGGUUUCUCAUUUAAGGCAAAUGACUAGAGACAGUAACCCUGGGUCUGCUGACCCUGACUCCUGUUUUCUGAUUGCAUGUUUAUUGAUAGGAGCUCCAGUAUGAGGGACCAGCCCCAGCCCUGUUUCACAGGGUAUGAUAGCCAUACAUACUGACCUAAUCAUUUCCUUUAGCAAUAGUGUCAUUUACUUCCUACAAACUUGAAAUUUGUAAUAUAGUUUUGCAUACAUUUGGCAAUAAUUUAUUGCAAUUAAUCACUCUAAAAGUGCAUUUAGUUAAUUUAAAAGUAUCUGAAGUCACUUUCAGCAGUCUCAAACCUAUACAGAGUAGCAGAACAAUCUCUGUGUGUUACUCAAAUUGCAAUUCUUCACAUCAAGAGUAAGGAAUAACAGUAUUAAGGCAGUUCAGUUAAUAUUUGACUCCUGUCUGUGCUUUUUUCCCAUAACUAUUUUUCUUGUCACAUGCUGCUGUAAAUCUGAGUAGCCAUAUAUACUCUUGUAAAAAUAAAAGCAACACUUAAAAAUCUCUAAGCAUCUAAAAUAGAAAAUGUUAAGAACUUGCUGUGUAUUCCAUUUUACUUUCCUGAUACAAUUCCCAGUAAAAGAAAGAAGUUGAACAGCUUUAUUAAUAAAUUGCAUGGUACUCCUCUGUUAUAGGAACAAUAUAUUCUUAAGCACUCCAUGCAUCUGAAAUUUGUCUUGAUGUGGCCCAUUUAUUUUAAUUUGCAUCUGUCAGUGGAAAAAAAGAAGUAAUUAAACUUGUGACUAGCAUGGAGAAACAUUUUACAUCCUAACACUGUAGCUUGAUACCCAGUAGUUUCUUUAUAUUUCUUCCAGUUGUCAGAUCAAAGUCUCUCAAGUACUAUAACUCAGCCGUGCUUUGAUUAAUUACUUCACACAAUGAAUUUGCAAAUUGUAUUUCUGAAGUGAUUUAUGUACAUUUUAACUUCAGUCACACCCCCCUCCCCUCUGUUUUGUUGUUUGGAUUUUUUUGGUUUUGUUUUAUUUUGUUUGCCUUUUUUUUCCUUAUUCCAGUCUUUACUCACUAAUGUAGUCAGUCCACACCUUGAAAAAUAUUUUUGAAAAAUAACCGAUGCUAUUUUAUGCUUAACAAAUUGGUAUAAACACAAGUUACCAGUAAAUAAUGAAAUCUUACCUGAACUGUGCAAUUAAACAGAACUGUAAGAAUCACUUAAAUUGCAGUCCCUCACCAGCACUCCUAGCGAGGUCUUCAGCCUCAAUGCUUUGUACAAACACAUGAAGUCCCUCCCUAAAAAUUCCCAGCUGCAGGUUUUUUCUAGGCUGAGGUUUUAUUCGAGAUAGAACUACUGGAAUAGCUGAGCUAAGGCAACCUUUAAAAUACAUGUUCAAACCAAACAUUUGGUUACUGUAGUUAGGCAUUGGUAAACAGUAUUCAGGGAAGUAAUAACUUGCCUGUACCAGUGAUGUGCUUGCAUGGGCAAAGUUUAAUAUUUACAUUUGUGGUUUCUUUGUACAAUCUCAUGUGGCAUACUUCUGUCCAUGUUCAAUCCAUUUGCAUUACGUACUGGUAUCUGAUGUCUGUUUAGUGAUAUCACAUUUAUAUAUAUAAAUAUCCAUGCUUUUCCUACAAAUUUAUUCUGAAGGAGUGCUGUGAGUUUAUUUCUCUCAUUACCCCUCGCUGAUAUCCUUAGCUCUGAAUAUUUGAACAUUCACAUCCUUUAGAAGUCAUUUUCAUCUAGAUGCUGCUUUGUUUUUUAUCCAGAUAUGAACCAAAGAAAGAAAUGUGGGUGCAGGUAAAGGACCAGUAGGGGGGUCCUGAUUGCAGAUGUGUCACUGGCAUACUGUUCCUUCUCACUGCAAAGUAAUUGUUUUGUCCAUCAAUAUAAGAAACUUCAUAGAGUGAAAUGGGGCUGAAGUCUUGCAGAUUGCAAGUAUUAAUUCACUUCCUUGCUUCCUUUUGGAGUAUGUUAAUAGCUCUCCAUCAGAGAAAACCCAUCUAUGGUUUGGGGAACAGUUUACUUUGAAGGCCUCUCAUUAUAGAGAAAACAGACAAUAUUUCAAUAAAUGUGAUUAUUUGAUGCUUCUGGCAAGAUUUGCACCCUCAAACACCCCAAGUACCUUCACAUCAUGCCCCAGGACCUGCAACAACUUUCUUGGUAUGUGACAUAUAACAGCUGUAGUGGUGGACAGAAGUGUUGACCUCACAAUACUUUGAACUCUUGGAACAGGAAAAAAACCAUGCACGCAAAAAACAUUGUGUUCUAGGGCCACCAAAAUGGGGCAGAGGGGAUGCCCUUAGGAAAUUCUAUGCAGUGUGGAUGAGGCCAGUCUUCUCUAGAUGGGGACAGCCAAGUAAUGUACGUGAAGAUGUGCUGCAGCACCUGCCCAGAGAUGAUCAGUUGUUCCCUGGGACAGAUGUAUUUAGCCAUACAGACAUAACACAGUCAGAACAAGCUGUCUAACCCAGAGUUGUUUCUCCAGUGACAGCUAGUAGUGGAGGCAUGAGGUAAUGGGUGUGCAUUUUAACCACAUGUGGAGUAAUACUUCUCCUUGUAUGCUUUGCCCGUUUUAGUUUGCUUGUGCUUUCUGCCUUCAAUUUUAAAUAGGCCCAUUACUUCUGGGUCUGAUCUUGGACAUCAUUGGUAGAAACAGGUCUAUUUCUAGUUGUCAGGAAACAUUUUUCAGAUAAAUUUUCCUGGUCUUUCUGAAAGCCUGUGGUGUUCCACAGACUGAAGACUUCUAUAACUCCUGUGCAAUAUAGUUUCCUAUUAUAUUGACAAUUUUGCUACUGAAAUGCUAAUUUGACAUAAAAUAUUAACUUGAACAACUGAUAAGGAGGGUACAUGUAUUGCCUUUACAGACUGUUAAAUUAUGUAACCAAAACAUAAGCAGAGGAAUCGUAGUCUCUUUAGUUUAAGUCUUGCCAUUGCCUCAUUUAAUACUGUGUACAUGGCACUUAUCAAACUUGAUUUUACCAGUAAUAUGGGCUCAGCCUGUGUGCAACUGCACAACAUCAUUAUAAGAUAGGGCACAUCAUUGCCUCUAUUUUUUUAAAAGUAAACCCAGUUGACUGCAUCUGUUUUCCCAUGACCCUCUCGAAAGAUAAAAUGUAGAUCAUAAGAUUGUUUCUGUUGCAAGGUCCCAAACAAAGAAAUAAGAAUGUCAGCAAGCUAAGUGCCAGCUUUACAUUAAAUAAUAGAGUAAUAGGAGGGAUCCUUAAAAAAUGGAUAGGUUGAUUUUUACAUAGGAGCCAUUAUGAAAAUUCUCUCUUUAUGAAAGGAAAAUUAGUGUCUCCAUUUCUGUACUAAGACUUGAGAAACCAGUAGACCUAGCAUAAUAAACAUUUUAGAAUGGUUAUUAUCAGAACAUCAAUGUGUCUUGUGUAUUGAAGCAGGAAAUGCAACUAUGACGUUCUUCAGCCACGUAACAAGUAUGUCAGAAGACUAUUAUCAUUGAUGAAUAAAUCAAAAUAAAUAAUACAUUCCUGAAAGGACCUCAUGUUCCUUCAGGCAAAGCUGAGGCAUUAAUGUGAGAAGACGCCAAUGACUGGACCCAAAGGAGCAGCGUCCCCUCUCCUCACCUGCAGUACUGACUAAACAGAAACACCGGACAACAGUACAUGAGACUCCAGUUGCUUAUUUGUGCAUUUUUAUGUUACUGUCUGAGAAGAUUUGAAGGGUGGACCUCCUCCUGUCCCUCUGCUUCAGCUACAGGCAGGAAAGCACUUUAGCAAUUGUCAGCUCUCAAGAUGAGAACAGAGCACCAAGUCACCACAACAUAGUAUGAACAGAAGCUGCUUCUUAAAAAAAAGAUAGGAUUAUCCUUUGGAUUUGACAUCUGGGACAGAGAUUUAUUAUGGGUUGGCAUCAUUAUCCCUAAGUUUUUCCACUUAUAAGAUUGGACUUCUCCCAUUUUAUGAAGUGUUUAUAUGUCUUAGAAAAACCCAAACCAACAUGUAAAGUUUUGUUAUAUCUGUUUUUACUGACUUCAGUGGACUCCAUGUUUGUCUCUGAGGUCUUUGGAGUCCAUGAGAUCUCUAGAUGUAAUCACAGUGGAAAUGGAAAGGAACUGAAAACAUAGCUGAAGGAUAUUUUGAGAAGUGGCAUCUCAGAGAAGGCUGGAGAGACAAACAUGGUAUUCUCAAAAUCUGUAACAAACCCAGCUCACUGAACGGCAGCACUUUCCCUAAGUUUUUAAUAGUCUGCCAGUUUAGAAAUUGCCCAGGUUUAAACCCUCACCAUAAUGCUUAUUCUUUUGGAAAAGCUGACAGAGGCAUUUAACUCUGGUGUCACUUGUACUAUCAAUUAUUUCACCCCCUGUGCAAGAUCGGUUGCUGGAGUCAUCACUGGAAAGAAGUAGAAAAAUCUACUACUGGGCAGUUUUUUUAAUGUCUGUGUCACUCAUCAGAUAUAUGAUGUUAUAGCUUGCAUAUGCAAAAUAUGCAUCUUUUAUGGCAAGAUAGCUCUUCUGAUGUCUUGAAGUGUCCUGAACUCAUUACAGCUUUUGACUUGUUCCAGCCUUCAGAUUAAAAUGGUUCAGGUUACAUCAUUUUAAACUGCGCAAAGGGUCAAGAGACCAUUUCAUUUAAAUGAGGCCACAGUUCAUUUGCUUUGGCUCAGGAAAGCCAGAGGAUGAAAUACAUAUUAAUAGUCAUAGUUUGAAGGAAGGAUUGCAGCCUUGGUAUUACAAUGAAGCGAAACAUUUCAUACAUGAUACAGCAAAAUAGUCACUGGAUUUUUGCCAGUUUGAAAGAGAUACAGAGGGAGAGACAAUGAAGGAAAAUAAUAUAAUUAAAAAAUGCACCUGGUACCUAAUGACUUUUUUUUCUUUUUUCCCCUAACUUUUCGUUAUGGGGAGAAGCAAUAUUUGCUUUUUGCUUCAUGGAGUUGAAAUCAGUCCAUUAAGAGGGUGGGAGAAAAGAUUAAUAGGUAAAUUCAGCAUGCUGACUCCUUCAUGUAGUUAAUGUGCUUAAUCUUACCUAGGUGAUGAGCUGCAUUUACACUGACAAUGAGUGGAGAGAGAGGAAGAGAGGUUAAAUACAUGGUUAGGGGAACAAAGUUAAUGAAAGCAUGUUACAGGAUUUUACAAAAAACAUAUAUUACUGUUCAUUUAAUUUAGUCCUUGGGACAAUUACAUCCCUGGUGUAAUCUCAUUAAGCUAAUGAGAUCACAUCAGGGAUGAAUUUGGCUCUUGUAUUUGAAGUUUUAAAGUGGCGGUGUUAUUGUAAUUUUCUUCUUUGCUUAGAACGUGAAUGAGCUUUGAAAACUUGAGAAAAUAGUAUUUUUAAGGAUGAUAGAGACUGGGGGGAUGCAAAGUAGAAUAUUGAGCUAGCUCAGUUUUAGCUCUCAUUGUCCUUGUCCACAUAAUGUUUUUAAAGUAUGUUUAUUAGCUUUGCACUUCUGUAUGUGGAGGAACUGUUGCCAUCUGAAAUCCAGAGUCUGAAAGACGUAAGGCACCUACAUACUCUCCCUAAAAAGUGCCCAUGUUCACCUUUAGGCAUAACUGACACUCUCAAAAUCGUCCCCAGCUGCACUGAUCCGCUUCAAUACUUUGUCAACAUCUGAGUGUCUAAGCGUACACAGCAUAGAUACCCACUGUGCCUGCUGGCCAUCCCACAGUAGGUUUCCUAACAGAAACAAAAGCUUCCCAGCCUCAAAAAUAUGGUACCUCAAAUGCACUAUUCAUCUACUUCUGCCUUCUGUGAGCUUGAUGCAUAAAACAUACACAACAUACUCCCCUUCUAAUGAUUUCUGAUGACUUUUUUUUGUCAUUGACAGUAGCAUGUUCAAGUUGACCAUAAUAAUCUGUGUCCAAGUCUUUUAUUUUGAUGACAUGACUUCAAUCAGAACUUUGUGAGACCUCUGGCCACCAAGCUGCUGGAAUUUUAGUUCAUGUACGUGACAAUGUAGUCGUUGGAGCUGAGACUUACACCAGGAUCUUGGGUAUGUGUCUUAAGCUCUGGGGGACCGCAGCUCUUUCCAUCUGUGGUCCAGUGACCAAAAUGGAAUUCCUCUCACUAGGAGAAUGACGUGAACCAGUAACAUAAUAUUUAGUAACUAACUGCCAAAGGUGAUCUCUUAUAAGGUGAGUUCAGAUUACUGCCUCCAUGAAGUUACAAGAGAGAUUAUUUAGAUUCAAGUCUCUUAAAGUCCAGGUGAAUGAUCCAAGAAAACACCUACUUGAUGGUUUCUCUGAUUUUCUGUGGUUUUUCAAUAACAGGAAAAUCCUGACAUAAAUGCCCUUAGAAUAAAUUCAUGCCUGACAAUGUCUGACUGCAGGGAAAUGUUGGCCUGGUGCUUUACAUGGAUCAUGUCAGUGUGACAGGGGCAUAAGCAUUGACGCUGAAUGACUCUUUGUUAAAUUGUGCACAAUCCUGCUUAGCUAGUUUUUAAGGUAUCUGACUAUCCCCAUGUUUAAGGGAAAAGAGAAUAUGGCUGUAAUGUAGCAAUUCUCCAAUUAUCCCUCUUUGCCAGAACCCACAAGCAAUCCAGAGAUUUCUGAGAGUUAUGCCAGCAAAUCAAAUCUGUCAUAUUUCAUUGUGGUGAGUUCAGUAAGAUUCCUUAUAAAAUAAAUUACUCUUCUACAAAAUUUAUCCUAAAACCUGCACAGUAAUAAUCCUUCAGCAUUUUUAAAUUACCCUAUAUUGCUCUUAUUUCUCAAUAUAUCUGGGAACAGUUAAAAUAUCCCUGUAGAUUUUUUUUCUGAUAUUUCCCCUAAAAUAUUACAGGAAUUUUCCAGCUGAGAUAUAAUAAUAUUUCCUUCUAGCCUACCUUCUUGUUCUACUCCAACAGACUCACAAUGAACAUGUUCUCAGAAUGCAGACCCAGCUGCACUUUCCUUUUAUUACUUAUGACAAUCUUUAGAGUACACAGGAGACAUUUUUUUUUCCCAGACCUUAUUCUUUAUUUGUCAUGACAAUGACACAAUACUCAAGACCUCAAUGAUCUUGUGCAAUUUCAUUUUUACUGUCAAUAAUAGUUCAGACACAUAUAUAAUCGUCUCUCCCCCUUCCUCCCUUUCCUCACUAAUGUACUUUUGAAUUUUUCAACAAGAUAUGUAAACAUGUCAUUUUUCUAAUAAUUUUAAUUGUUUUACCUAGUAUUAUAAUUAUGAGAUGUUCAUUUCUGUUUCAUUCUAGUGCCCCUGCUGUAGUAGUGAAGGAGCUUAGGUUUUAUAAUGUCAUUCUUCUGUUCAGGUGGAUUUUGAUCUUGAACACAGCUAGUUAAACUUUGGAAUGUUGAUUCUUUGGAAAAUUCUGAGAUCUGGUUGGUUGUUUUUUUUAUUUAUUUUUUUAAUAAUUCCAAAAUCGACUGAAAUUUUGACCAAAUAAUGCGAUACCAAUGGAUAUGUUCUGCUUAGAGACCAUUGGAAUAUUGUGCUCUGAUUCAGACCUGUAAUUAUUUAAUUCCACUUAAUCCUCAAAAUGAAGUACAGUUCUGACAGUAUCAAUAUUUUCUAUCAGAUUUUUUUAAAUAAAACAGUCCCUGAACCAGGGUAUUUCCUCACACUUUUAUUUUUUUUUUCUCUGUGAAUGAAACAGCGUUUUCUACUGUAGUAACAUAAUUGUUGGAAGCUUCUUACUCCACAGUGAAGCUGAUAAGGUGUAGAAUACAGGUGAAAUCAAAGAGUAGCCUAAUCUAUUCAGGAGGCACCUUGGCCUCAGGGGAGAUUCCAGAACAAGAGCAAGGAAACCUCGGUGAUGUUGUGCAGGCAGGAAGCCUCCUGCCUGGAUGGGGUGGGCAGGCCUGCCUGGGACCUGAGUGCUGUCUAACCCAUUCUUCCAUCCUGACCACUAUAUCGGGUUUAAGGUACUUAAGUAAAACAAACAAACAGAAAAAGAGGUAAAAGGGCAUUCUUGGCGCUCAGAUAGUGCUGAGAAGGGGAAAAGCACGCUAUUGCAAGCCCAAGGAAGAUAUAUGGUUACCCAAAGGGGGAGGUAAACAAAAAGGCUGAGAGAAAUUUGUGUCUGUUUGAAAUGUGUUUCUCCUUUUUUUUUUUCCUCUCGUGGCAUGAGGGGGGAUGGGGAGUUAAGAGCAUGGGAACAUUUUAUUUUGUGUUACUGAAUUCAGGAGCCUUUGUGGAUUUCGUUUCUUACUAUAAUAGCUGCUUCAUUUUGAAUGCUUUAACAUCUACAAGGCUCUCAGUGUAGAUGAAUGAACUCUGCUGUCAUUUCAAGCACAUCACUUUCAUAUCUUCUUGCCAGGCGGUUACAGUUAUUAACAGCAGCAUUUAAAAUUUGCUUUCUUCUUCGAAUAAAGCCCCGACUAUAAGAUAGAACAAAUUACAAGUAGUAUGUAUAGUGCAGCAGUGUUAAAACUGCUGUCAGCAUCCCAACGUGGCCAUAUGUCUGACAUAAAGUACACAAAAGAAAGUGUUGAGGAUUGGAGCACAGUUUGAUGAUAAGUAGGCCGUUUAAACAAUAAGCCUCUCAAGUGAGCAAUAUACAUUCUGUUCUGUUUUUCUUACUUUGUGCUGUUUUAAAUCAAAGUCCACGGGUAUGCUAUUGCUGGGAGGUUGGACAUGUUGUCUGCAAGUAAAUAGGCCUUCUGCCAAGUAACUAGAGCUCACUCUUGGUAAAGGAAGAACAUUGUUCACUAAAAUAGUUUGUCUUUUGAUGCCAGAGGAAAUCAAAUUGUAAUCAAGGGCUGAGAAAGGACUGAAGUCAUAAAGGCUGGCUUGCCUCAGACUUUGGCAGCCUCACUUGUUCCCAGGCAUAUUAAAUAUAAUUUACGUUUGCAGAGGGGAGAGGCUUUAUUGCACUGGAAAUUUAUUUUAAAUAACACUUAAGUGAAACACUGUCAGGGGCAGCCAGGGAUACACUUCUACUGUCAUUUAGGCUGCUGAAAAUCCAGAAUAUGUUCAUGGGCUUUACCAGAUUUGUUCUGAAGUUACAUCUGUGAAAAUGGAUAUUUAUGGUCAGUGUUGAUGAAACAAUCACAUUUCCUAGGUUCUGGUCACCCAUGCUGAGUGGAAAGUUCAUGAUGAAAGUCUUACCUCAGUUACAGAAAAUGUUUAUAUAUUUUUCUUUCAUUUUAUCAUGCAUGUGAAAAUUCACAAUGACUAUAAAUAACCACCUUUGGAUGAAAAAUCAUGAAUACUGCAUAGGACAGUUGAAUCAAUUAUGUCCUUAAUUUGCAAUGUAUUAAGUGGAAUUGAUUUUACUGAUAAUCCCUGUGUAAAAAGUUAAAGUUUAAAAUAUAUUUUUUUUUGUGGUUUCAGAAAGAAACUUUAGUAACACUUCAAAACAAUAAAAAAAAAUCUGGUUUUUAUUUUUCCAAAUGGAAUUUAUCUUUUGGAACAGUAAAACUUACUUUUGUUUCACCAUGGAAUUAAAAACUAAUUUAAAAAUAGCUUCUCAGAAGAAGUGAUAAUUCUACUUUUCAGCAUCUUGUUCAUAAGUAGCCAGCCGAAGGAAAACAUUGUAUUAAUUCUUUGCACACUUUUGGACAAGAUAUUUUUCUUUCAACUUGACACCAUAAUGUAGGUUACAUCUGAAACUUGUUUUACAGAUUUGCACUGAGUCAAAGCAAUGGAAUUUGCCAACUAAAAAAUGAAAGGUUUUCCAUGCACAUCUCAUUUAUGAUCAUAUUAUUUUCUUUGCUUUGCAGCUUUGUCCCAUUGCAUAUAACAUUUGUCAGCAAAUUCAGUGUAGUUCUGUAUGUACUAUAAAAAGGGAAAUUUGACCCUUAGGGAAAAUCAUAAGGGAUAAUUAAACUACCAAAGAAAUAUUUGGGUAGCUGCUGUCUUUAAAAAGUCAGAUUUUUUGUUUCCAUCAUUCUGUUGGAAAUAAUAUUGAAACAGCAUGCUUCCACCUUAAAAUGGCGAUAUUUGGAUCAUUUAACACAGCUCACCUCUGUUCAAGUAACAAUUGACAUUUUAAGCAAUUUAACUUUAAUUCUGUAAGUAGACUGGGACAGAUUUUAGACCUUGCAAACUAAUUUGGAGGUCUAACACAAGCCUUUAAGAACCUUAAAAAUAUGUUUUCUGUAUCUCAGUGCCUGAGGGACCGAAAUAGGUAGGCGCCUGUCUGCGAUGUUUCUUAAAGUCAUACCCCGUCUGCGCAUGUAUUUACCCAAGUCUUGAUGAUGCCUAACAUCUAAACAACUAGCUUAAUGCCCAAACUCUGUCACCUCAGAAUAACCUAUAGCCUCAUGACUAAGCUUUUUUCUGGAGGCUCCUUUGAAAGCAUGUGUUAUUCAUGUUUUCUGUACAAAGCAUCUAAUUAAAUUUUACUCAGGGUGGUGGGUCCUAAUAAGAGGCAAGGUGUCUAGAAGAUAUGACCUGCAUUUCUCACCAUUGCCCAAGUCCUUGUGUAAGUCUAACCUAAGGGCACUUAAAAAUAGCUUGAUGAAAAUAUAAACAAACUCUAUCCUUUCCUGGAGCUUCAAACCUCCCUUUUCCAGAAGGGAGGUAGAAUUUAAAUGCAUUAUUUUCCAAACAAAAUUAGAUUGCACUAUUAAUAUAAAAUAAUUUUAAGAAAAAAUAUCAGGAUUUGUCAUGAAGAAAUUAGAGUAAAUAACUGCAGAAGUUCUGAAAGCACCCUUACUCUUGUGUCAAUGGCUAUUCCAAGGGGAAAAUGACAAGGUAAAAUUUUUUUACAUUGCAGCAUAAAAAUACCACGACUAUCAACUGUAACCCAUGGCUGCCCUUUUUCCCAGCUGCAAUACAUAUUUGGAAGAUAUAUGGUGAGGGCUAAGGAACUAGAAAAGACAUAAGGGUGACUGAAGAGGCAAAUGCUGUGACACUCAGACAUGAACUAAGCUUCCUGGCACUUCCAACAGCCACCGGCACUCAUGGGGAUUUGACAAAUCAGUAGUCAUUUUAAAAUAGUCCAUAUCAGUGACUAAUACCACAUGACUGUGGAGCAUGGGCUUCUGAGACUAAUAAAAGCAGGACACUGCUAAAAAUGCAAUCAGACUUAGGAAGACAUUCCAAGAAGUAACUGGAGAGUUCUCAGGACGUGUGUUCCUGUAAGGACAUGCAGGGAUUAAGCUGCUGUGUGAGCCUGCCUGCAUCUGUGGUCCCUGUGAAGAUCUGCAGCUCAGGUACAAUCUGAAGUCAGGGAGAUGCUCUGAGACAGCCACAAGCUCUCUGAAGAAAUCCACACAAAGAGCCUUUCAGAAAACGCCUUCAAGAUCCAAGCCUGUCUUCAAUAUUCCCUUCUCUAACACUGCACAAUCCUGUAUCACACUUUUCAAGUGCUCUCAAACUUUUUGUUGCUUUUAUUUUCCUUCCCUUUCAGUCAAACAACACGAUACAGUGUAUUCAGAUGUUAAUAGGACCGUUAGUGUAUUUCUUGAAAUAGGAACAAACAGACUGCUUUAAAAGUUUUUACUUUUAUAUAAAGAUAGGUGUAUAUAGAUAUUUAUACUUUUGUUAUGUUUUCUGCCUUCCCUUUGUAUUGUCUUGUAAACAUGUCAUGAACUUGAUCCUUCAUUUCCGAAAACAAUAGGAGCUGGAUGCUGACUUCAGGGGAAGCAAAUGAAAGACCCAUCUUUCUAUUGUUGCAGAUUUAUUUAAAAAUUGGGCUUUCAAAAAUAUUCUUUGAAAUAAAGAUGAACAAUGCAAACAAAAUCGGAGCAGAAAGACAUAUUUCAAUGCCCAAACAGUAAUUGCUAUCCCACCUUCCCAUAACCACUGUAAUACUAGGAAGCAGGGAGACAGAUAUAAAAUACAGCUCAGCUGAGUGUGAAAACAAAAUUGUGCAAGAGCUUUAAAGCUUGUAGCCUGACUCUACCCCCACCUCACCACUAUCUUGUCUGUAGAUGCUCAUCAGCAAUAUCCCACCCUGAGUUUGGGCAUGGGACAGCUCGCGAUUUAUCUGCCGUAGUAAAUUUGUCCUACUGCUGCAGAGACUGACUGGGCAAUGUAUUAAUCUACUUCUAUCAGCUUACACUCUUCUGCUGGACUUGGUUAUUUUUAUUUUUUUUCUUCUCAGGAGACCCAAAGCCAGUCAGUUUGAAGCUAACAGCUGUUCAAAUUGCUGUAUGCUUUUAGAGGAGAUGUGAAAAUGAAUGUGUGCCAGAAUUUUGGUUGCAGUUACAAUGAAGUUAACUCACUUUGACAAAGAAAUCCUGCUCCUGAACUUCUUUUACAUGCUAAGACACGGUAAUAUGUGAAAAACACAGCUGAUGGGCGUAGAAUUGCCAGCCUGUCAUCUUAACAAAGGACUUUUGGAAAUGUGUUUCCUCCUCAGCAAAGGGAUUCUCCUGCAUGAAGUUUUGUCUCAGAAAUGUACAAAAGACUGUUAUAACAGAAAAGUACAUAAACAAUGAUGUUUUAAGAUCUGUAAUAUUAAUAUUAAUUAUUCUACUUUAUUUAGUCAAUCACCAUUCCUAAGUAAAUAAAAAAGUUUUCAGCAGUCAGGCAAUCAGGUGACAUAGGCUCUGUAGUGAUGUCUCUAAUUAAAACCACCUGAAACUCACGUACAGGUAUACAUCUGUGUGAAUGUGAAUACAUCUGUAUUGUGCCUAAAACCAUCCACCUCUCUAUAUAAACACCAAUAUAUUUUAAAAUAAUUUUACUUAAUUAAAAAAAAAAAUCCAGACUAAACAAAUACCUGCUACAGGAGCAAAUGCUUUUUCUUUCUUUGUGUUUGUCUCGGUUGGAAUUGUGUGAAAUACCACAUCCCAAAUCAGCUGCACUGCAAAUCCUCAGUUUAUACAACCUAUAGAAACCAUGAGCAGGAAAAUUUUUUUCUCAUCUCCUAAAAAUCCAGUGCUAUGAAACAGCUAAAAAAAAGAACAGCUUUGCCAGGCUAUGGUAAAGGAAGCAGUGAUCAUGAUAAUACAGCUCCACGAUGCAAAUAAUUGAAUAAUUUUAGCCAAAGAAAAUGUAAACAAACAAACAAACAACCCAAGCUCAAAACUCUCACUCCAGAUCAGGUGUUUGUUACCAGGAAUGUCAGAAGCCAUGUCAGACAGAGCAUAAAAAAUUCAAUAGAAUUAUUUUGGAAUGAUGUCAAAAGCAAACAUGAAAGUCUAUUCAAAGGCAAACUUAUCUGUUCACUGUAAUGCAUUGUAAUACCAGCUAUUCAAUUUUUUGUUCAAGCUCAAUGGUCCUAAAAUAAACCUCCAAACUCUCAAUACAGAUUUCUUUGCCCACAUACAUACAAAUAGCUUUAAAGUUAUGUAUUUUACUCAUCCAAGCAUUUUCCCAUGUAAAUUUUCAUUUUUUGAAACAGUAUCAUUUAAUUUAUGAAUUCCUUGAGUGUGAUGAAUCUGGGUGAUAAAUUGAGGUUUGUCAAACAAGGGAAACUUCUGUAGCAAAACCGCCCACUUUUGCAGAAUAAAAGAAAAAUAAUAAGAAAAAUACUUUAAACAAUCUGUAACAAUAACUCUCUGUGAUGCAAAUAUUAAUGAACAAUGAAUGAUAACAUUUUUAGGACACUUGAGUGAAACCAUUGAAUAGUACCCACAGAUCCUUUUUGCCUUUCUCUGUGGUAACGUAGACUUUUCAAUACCUUCUUAUUGAGUAGGAGAGAUUUAUAGUUUGUCUUGGACUCUGCAGUUCCAAAGGAAGACACAAGGCCGAACAGGCUCAAAAUUCAAAGAAAAAGGAUAGCAUGUUUUCUCUACUGUAUCAAGAAAGGAUGAAUAACUGUUGUGUAUCUAAUAUGCAGAGACAUCUUAGUAUAACAAGACACAGCUUAGCUCCUAGAAUCCUUGUUAUUUAAUCCAUUUAGUUCUGCCCAGGGAUCACAUGAAUUUAUGGAAACCCCCUGCUACCCUCUUUGUUGACUUCCAUCCCUGCUGAGAGAUCCCCAUCUGCUGGGAAGUGAAACUCUGUCCUGAACUUUACCUCAUUUAACACAGUGCCACAUGUAAAUUCAACUUCUUCAUUUAUUACUUUGACAGAGCAGAUGGCAAUGGGCUUUUAAAAGACUGCAGUGUUGCUCAAAACCAGCUAUAUUUGUAGAAAUAAUAGUUUAAACUGCUUGGAUUCUAGUGUCUGAUUUUUAGGAAAAGAGUCUGACACAGGCAAUUAAAUUUUUGAGCCAUCAGUACUUAGUGAUGCAUCGUAAUUUAGCUGUUUUCAGAAAAUCAUAUUGUGAUCAAAUAAUCAUUCAUUAAGACAGAAAAUUCUUUUCUAAUGGAAAUUUGAGACUCAUAUUUGGUGGCUGAUAUGAGUGACUAGUUUUCUAAUAGCCUUAAUCACUGGAGUAUUUCUUUACUUGUUCAUUUAAGCCCAUUAAUGAAAACGUAUGAUGUUAAGUCUAAUAUCUGCUAACCCUUGAUGACUGUUUUGACUUCCAGCAUUGUCCUAUAAAUAACUGUGAAUGACAUGCACUGAAAAUCAAAGAGUAUUAUUUCACUGUGAUUACAGAGAACAGGUUCACCCAAGACUUCCUUUUCAUCCAGUAAGACCACAGAGAAAUUCAUUGUUAGCUUGUG
Columba livia (rock pigeon) is the source of this 16701-nucleotide long non-coding RNA. RefSeq lists it as uncharacterized. The transcript is spliced from 7 exons. NCBI's taxonomy places the organism in Eukaryota, Metazoa, Chordata, Aves, Columbiformes, Columbidae. The record is from RefSeq and is a predicted model, not a curated record.